CCUACGGGAGGCAGCAGUGGGGAAUUUUGGACAAUGGGGGCAACCCUGAUCCAGCAAUGCCGCGUGAGUGAAGAAGGCCUUCGGGUUGUAAAGCUCUUUUGUCAGGGAAGAAACGGUAGUAGCGAAUAACUAUUACUAAUGACGGUACCUGAAGAAUAAGCACCGGCUAACUACGUGCCAGCAGCCGCGGUAAUACGUAGGGUGCAAGCGUUAAUCGGAAUUACUGGGCGUAAAGCGUGCGCAGGCGGUUGUGUAAGUCAGAUGUGAAAUCCCCGGGCUCAACCUGGGAAUUGCAUUUGAGACUGCACGGCUAGAGUGUGUCAGAGGGGGGUAGAAUUCCACGUGUAGCAGUGAAAUGCGUAGAUAUGUGGAGGAAUACCGAUGGCGAAGGCAGCCCCCUGGGAUAACACUGACGCUCAUGCACGAAAGCGUGGGGAGCA
Molecule: ribosomal RNA, 440 nt
Filed under: uncultured bacterium
Lineage: Bacteria
Description: bacterial SSU rRNA
Rfam family: Bacterial small subunit ribosomal RNA
Source: RNAcentral